GCGCGAGUGGCGGAAUUGGCAGACGCGCUGGAUUUAGGUUCCAGUGUCCGGAGGACGUGGGGGUUCAAGUCCCCCCUCGCGCACCA
RNAcentral lists this transfer RNA (86 nucleotides) under Gordonia polyisoprenivorans. RNAcentral's name for it is "tRNA-Leu". It matches the Rfam family "tRNA". From Rfam's summary of the family: Transfer RNA (tRNA) molecules are approximately 80 nucleotides in length. Their secondary structure includes four short double-helical elements and three loops (D, anti-codon, and T loops). The record is from RNAcentral. RNAcentral also lists the same sequence under 2 other names. Lineage: Bacteria; Bacillati; Actinomycetota; Actinomycetes; Mycobacteriales; Gordoniaceae.